UACGUAGGGAGCAAGCGUUGUCCGGAAUCAUUGGGCGUAAAGAGCGUGUAGGCGGCCCGAUAAGUCCGCCGUGAAAGUCCAGGGCUCAACCCUGGAAUGCCGGUGGAAACUGUCGGGCUGGAGUCCGGAAGAGGCGAGUGGAAUUCCUGGUGUAGCGGUGAAAUGCGCAGAUAUCAGGAGGAACACCAAUGGCGAAGGCAGCUCGCUGGGACGGUACUGACGCUGAGGAGCGAAAGCGUGGGGAGCGAACAGG
This 253-nucleotide ribosomal RNA is filed under the name uncultured bacterium. RNAcentral describes it as "partial 16S ribosomal RNA". It matches the Rfam family "Bacterial small subunit ribosomal RNA", at positions 524 to 776 of the family's 1533-position model. The record is from RNAcentral.